UCGGACGGGGUUGAGGAGCUUGCUUCUCAUGAGAGUGGCGCACGGGUGCGUAACACGUAUGUAACCUACCUUGUUCAGGGGGAUAGCCUCUCGAAAGAGAGAUUAACACCGCAUAAAAUCAAUUUAUGGCAUCAUAGAAUGAUCAAAUAUUUAUAGGAACAAGAUGGGCAUGCGGAACAUUAGCUAGUUGGUAAGGUAACGGCUUACCAAGGCUACGAUGUUUAGGGGAUCUGAGAGGAUGACCCCCCACACUGGUACUGAGACACGGACCAGACUCCUACGGGAGGCAGCAGUAAGGAAUAUUGGUCAAUGGACGCAAGUCUGAACCAGCCAUGCCGCGUGCAGGAAGACGGCCCUACGGGUUGUAAACUGCUUUUGUACCGGAAUAAACCUUUUCACGUGUGAGAAGCUGAAUGUACGGUAAGAAUAAGGAUCGGCUAACUCCGUGCCAGCAGCCGCGGUAAUAUGGAGGAUCCAAGCGUUAUCCGGAUUUAUUGGGUUUAAAGGGUGCGUAGGUGGCCUAUUAAGUCAGGGGUGAAAGACGGUAGCUUAACUAUCGCAGUGCCUUUGAUACUGAUGGGCUUGAAUACACUUGAGGUAGGCGGAAUGUGACAAGUAGCGGUGAAAUGCAUAGAUAUGUCACAGAACACCAAUUGCGAAGGCAGCUUACUAAAGUGUUAUUGACACUGAGGCACGAAAGCGUGGGGAUCAAACAGGAUUAGAUACCCUGGUAGUCCACGCCCUAAACGAUGAAUACUCGAUGUUGGCGAUAUACGGUCAGCGUCUAAGCGAAAGCGUUAAGUAUCCCACCUGGGGAGUACGCCCGCAAGGGUGAAGCUCAAAGGAAUUGACGGGGGCCCGCACAAGCGGAGGAGCAUGUGGUUUAAUUC
Molecule: ribosomal RNA, 890 nt
Filed under: uncultured bacterium
Lineage: Bacteria
Description: bacterial SSU rRNA
Rfam family: Bacterial small subunit ribosomal RNA
Source: RNAcentral